CAACGGCAUUCAGACCGCUCGGC
RNAcentral lists this non-coding RNA (23 nucleotides) under Arabidopsis thaliana (thale cress). Lineage: Eukaryota; Viridiplantae; Streptophyta; Magnoliopsida; Brassicales; Brassicaceae. The record is from RNAcentral.